RNAcentral lists this ribosomal RNA (243 nucleotides) under uncultured Pseudomonas sp. Its description in RNAcentral is "partial 16S ribosomal RNA". It matches the Rfam family "Bacterial small subunit ribosomal RNA", at positions 1140 to 1382 of the family's 1533-position model. The record is from RNAcentral. Lineage: Bacteria; Pseudomonadati; Pseudomonadota; Gammaproteobacteria; Pseudomonadales; Pseudomonadaceae.
CUAAGGAGACUGCCGGUGACAAACCGGGAGGAAGGUGGGGAUGACGUCAAGUCAUCAUGGCCCUUACGGCCUGGGCUACACACGUGCUACAAUGGUCGGUACAAAGGGUUGCCAAGCCGCGAGGUGGAGCUAAUCCCAUAAACCGAUCGUAGUCCGGAUCGCAGUCUGCAACUCGACUGCGUGAAGUCGGAAUCGCUAGUAAUCGUGAAUCAGAAUGUCACGGUGAAUACGUUCCCGGGCCUU